GUAGUCUCGCACAGAUGCAUAUCAAUAAGCGGAGGAAAAGAGACUAACAAGGAUUCCCCUAGUAACGGCGAGUGAAGCGGGAAGAGCUCAAAUUUGAAAUCUUAAAGGGUUUCCCUUUACGAAUUGUAGUUUAAAGAAGUGUUUUCUGUUGAGGUUUUGGUAAAAGUUCUUUGGAAUAGGACAUCAUAGAGGGUGAGAAUCCCGUAUUUGACCUUUACUUUCAACUUUGUGAUACACUUUCAAAGAGUCGGAUUGUUUGGGAAUGCAGUCCAAAAUGGGUGGUAAAUUUCAUCUAAAGCUAAAUAUUGGCGAGAGACCGAUAGCGAACAAGUACCGUGAGGGAAAGAUGAAAAGAACUUUGAAAAGAGAGUUAAACAGUACGUGAAAUUGUCAAAAGGGAAGCGUUUGACACCAGUGUUGUUUUUCUGAAAAUCAAUUAAAGAACUGUUUAUGCUAAGCUGUUUAGACUUUAUCAGCUAUCUGUUUAGUUUUGAGCUUUUCUUUAAUGCACUUUUCAGUUAACAAGUCAACAUCAAUUUCUUUUGCUGUAAAAAAGCUUGAGGAAGGUGGCUUGAGAUUCGUCUUAAGUGUUUAUAGCCUCUUGCCUAUGCAGUCGGAGAGAUUGAGGUCUGCAGCGUAGAUCCUUCGGGGCUAAAUGCAUUUGUGCUAAGUUAUAGCAUUUUAUAGACAACUUGUUGACUAUGAUUUGUCUUGUAGCUUACUCGCUUAUGUUAUUUUACCUACGCUUAGGAUGUUGACGCGCGUGUGUGCGUG
This 774-nucleotide ribosomal RNA is filed under the name uncultured Neocallimastigales. RNAcentral's name for it is "partial large subunit ribosomal RNA". It matches the Rfam family "Eukaryotic large subunit ribosomal RNA", at positions 24 to 639 of the family's 3401-position model. Lineage: Eukaryota; Fungi; Neocallimastigomycota; Neocallimastigomycetes; Neocallimastigales. The record is from RNAcentral.